Molecule: long non-coding RNA, 4089 nt
Organism: Gadus macrocephalus (Pacific cod)
Lineage: Eukaryota; Metazoa; Chordata; Actinopteri; Gadiformes; Gadidae
Exons: 2
Source: RefSeq, a predicted model, not a curated record
CACACACACACGCACGCACGCACGCGCGCGCGGCGCGCACACACACACACACACACACACACACACACACACACACACACACACACACACACACACACACACACACACACACACACACACACACACACACACACAGACACACACACACACACACGCACGCACGCGCGCGCACACACACACACACACGCACACUAAUCACAAUAACACAGAGAUUAAAAGUGAACUGAGGAUAAAAAUAAAUCGCUAUUUUGUUAAGUUAUUUUUAAAAGUCGUUAAUAAAAGCUAAUUCUCUGCAAUUACGGAACUUUGUGUGCUGUUCUACUUAUAUUCGUUUUUGUUCUGAUCUCAUGUUGUUUCUUUUUUGCUCAAUGUUGAUUGAAGAUAACAAUAGAAGGAGCUGGAAGGCUUGUCUUGACGCUGUCGACUGGUGUGUGUGUGUGUGUGUUUGUGUGUCUCUCCAGGACUUCGCAGUAGUUACUCCUGCAGUGUCUGCAGUGUGGUCCUCAACUCCAUAGAGCAGUACCACGCACACCUUCAAGGCUCCAAGCAUCAAAACAACCUGAAGCAGCACCAACAGUGAGCCAUGAGGACACGUCGCUCUGUGAGAGUACGGGAGCAGAGAGUGAAGAGAAAAUGAGGAAUAUACUUAUUUAUUUAUUUAUUUACUGAUUUAUUUAGUAUUUGUGUGUUUGUUUCUUAAUACUUGUGUCACAACCAUUUGGGUGUAAGGGACUACUGCUUGAAGUUAUUUGUGUGUGUGUGUGUGUGUGUGUGUGUGUGUGAAUAUUUGCGGUCUGCGUGUGUGUGUAUGUGCGUGUGUGUAUGUGCGUGUGCGUGCCCAAGCACUAUGUGUGCGUCAUAUUCGUGCAGUUCGUCAACACUACAGACUUGGAGUAGGGGGGCAAAAAAAGAACUAAUAGAUGUAAUUUGGGUAAAUGAGCUAUCAUUAACUAAGCCAGUUAAUUGUGCCAUGACAGUAGUGCAGAGUGACACAGAGCUCUGGUCGCCGCUUCUAUUCCCUUCCCAAUAAUAGACUAUCAUCAGGCCCUCCUACCCUCCCUCUCAACCCUUCUGUGCCUCGUCUCUCCAGACCACGUAUCCACCUCACCAAGCCUACCCGACCAUACCUCCUCCCCUCCCUGCCCUCACCGGCCUCUCCUGCUCCCUCAGCUUCCUGACACAACAGCAUAGCCGCUGCUGCCUGUAGUCGACACUAAAUUAAGAUAUUUUCAGGGUCAGGACGCUACCUGUUCACGACAUGAGGUAAACAAAACCAAAAAAAGGUUGUUUGACUUUCAAGGAGGUAAGAACUCAAACCUUGAGUUCUGAAUCAACCGAAACAAUGGCAGGAGGGCCGACUGCAAUAUAUGAUGCAAUGUAAUGCAACCGUAUUGUGGACGUGUUUGUGUGUUGUGUGUAUGUGUAUGUGUGGUGUUUGUGUGCGUGGGUGUGUGUAUGUGUGCAUAUAUCUUCAUUACUUUCAGUUCUGAAAUCUAUCUCUGAGGGACUUUUACUUCAGCACCUGAAGGGGUUGACAUGUUUUCUAAGCCGGCAGCUGCCCCCAUAGCACAGCACAGCUGCGGUGAUCGCCAUAUGAUCCCCGUGUUCCUAACUAACACAACAACUGAUGUCAAUACGUCGUCCAUAGGGGUGACUGCCAUUACGUAACCCUUUCUUCUUGUCGGAGCAGCAGUGAUAAUAACUGCAGACUGGCAGGUCAUCGCGACAGCACGACCGUUGUCGGUCAGAUUGUGAUCGACACUCAUUAAAACAAGUCAAGUCAUUUGGUUCUAUAUGUAGUGACAGUUUGGACACAGGAAAUAGCUAGCAACAAGGCCUUUUCAGAUAGAACUCACUCAGGCCACAAAUCCUUGGUCCCGAAACACCACGGAAAGCUAUGAAUAUAUCAACUAAUAUUGAUGCGAAAGAAUAGGUAUUUAUUUAUUUAAUAAUAGAGAAGAUGGCCCAAGUCGACUUUCACUUGAAUAGGCUGCCAUGCAGCUUGAGCAAGUCAUUUACUUACUUUACUACGAUUUAAGAUAAAUAUGGUCAAUUUUUUGCUCAAUUCAAAUUCAGAUUUUCUACAACAUAAAGGGUGAUGCUACACUCGUUUACCUAACGUAUUGAGUAACAGUGAACAAACACAGCUUCUGUUUCUUUGUGUGUGUGCGAGUGUGUUCCUGGGUGUGUCUGUGUGUCUUUGUGUGUGUGUCUGUGUGUGUAUUUUAUACUUGUCUUUUCUACUGCCCAGUUCGAGGGGGAGUCUGGGGUCAAAAAAGUAACGCCUUGUACAGUAUGGAUCUACUGAUGUCACAGACACAGAACCUGAGAUGUCAACACAUUAUCUCUGCUCAGUGAUGGAGGUCAUAUUAAUAAAGACAAACUCCUUUGUAAACGUUUGUAUGCCAUCAUGUCCAGACCAAGAAAAAAACAAACAUGACGACGAAACAACAGACAAAAAAAUACUUUUUCUUCUUCUUCAUCUUCACCAACCAAUACCUGUAGCAAAUGGCUCUAAAUGCAACUGGGUGAAAUUCAGUGCAUGCACAGCAAUGGUGAGCCGAGCCUAUCCUUUUGCCUUCUUUUUACAUCGUGAUAGUGCAUCGGAAACCUCCGCCGCACGACCGCAUUGUUCUCCCACUGGUGAUGUAGCUUCAGAAUGACGUACCACACCCGCAAGAAGCUAGAUAGACAAAGUCACCCUCUACUGCCUGGUUAGCGCCAGUUCAUUUGUACUAGUACAUCACUGGUGCGUUACUAGUGCUGGAGAGAAGAAAGAAAACAACAGGCCUAAAGACUGGCCGAAUGUUCGGGCGGUCGGUUAAAAAAAGACAACAAUGGCCUGUUUUGGUUUUUGAUGCUUCUUCAAGUGUUUCUUACGAUGUCUUUAAGCAUGUUAUGUUUUUUGGGAUUGUAUUGGGUGCAACUUGUGGGGAAAACCAAAAAAAGUACAUAGAGAUCAGUACAACCGCACACACACACACACACACACACACACACACACACACACACUUGCGUGCAGGCACUCACAAACACACACACACACACAAACAUGCACACAAUCAACUCUAACUUUUUAGUAAAGGUAAAAUAUGAUGAACAGAUGAAAAUAAGUUCAUUCUGUGCUGAUUUCAUGUUUUGAAGUGGGAGCUAAGGAUUACUUGAUUAGGAAGAGUGUGGAGUGUGGAAUUUUUUAUGCAAUCAAAAUGUGAUAUGAAGAACCAUGCAAUCGUAGUAAUUUCCUGUAAAUAAGGAGCUGGAAAGUGUGUGCUUAUUUUUAAAGACAUAAAAGAGUUUUGUAUUCACAAUGUGUACCAAGGAAAGAUGAGGGUAAAAUUAUGUUUUUGGUGCACCUGGAGAAUACAAAUAAUAACUGAAAUAUUUAAAUAACGAUGAUGAUGGUGAGCAAAACACAGCAUGAGGUGUUCUUUAACCUUUUGUGCUCCCAAAGGGAGGAACGCCAAAGGGAAGAACGCCUGGAGCACAGAUGGCACUUGGAUUAUAACGAUUAUAUAAAAAAAAAACAGAGCUGUGGAAAGCUAAGGAGAUGGACAGAUGGAUAUAAGAUGGAUGAACAUCUUACUAUGUGGCUGGGUAAAAAUAUUGACGAAACUAGGACUGUUCAACAGAAAAAACCUUCAUUAUCGUUUCAUUCUGUCUCCUUCCCCAUGUGUCAAGCGGGCUAGAGACUGAUCAAAGUGUGGGCAUCAUGACAUUGAACUUUUGGUUGUGAUGUGAUUCAGGAUCUGUUCAUCCAAUCAGAGUGCACAGAACAACUGGUUUGAACAUUUCUAGUUGUUGCUUUUAUGUGCUGCUUUCAUUACUGUCGAAUCAAGACUUCUGUGUGUCUCCAGUGCUCACACACAGUAGCAGUGGUGUGUGUGUCACAAUCUAUGAAGAGAGCAAUUAUGUUUGAAACAGAAAACUAUUGCUAUUACAACAACACUACCAGAUGGGCGUGUGUGUGUGUGUGCAUCAAGAGUACGAGAGUGUCCUGUUUAAGCGCUUACACCAUGCACACAUUUGUAAACGCACAUACAUGUGAUGAUAGACAUUGAUAAAGAUGAUGAGAUCUAUUUUCUCUUGAAA